GACGAACGCUGGCGGCGUGCUUAACACAUGCAAGUCGAACGGAAAGGCCCUGCUUUUGUGGGGUGCUCGAGUGGCGAACGGGUGAGUAACACGUGAGUAACCUGCCCUUGACUUUGGGAUAACUUCAGGAAACUGGGGCUAAUACCGGAUAGGAGCUCCUGCUGCAUGGUGGGGGUUGGAAAGUUUCGGCGGUUGGGGAUGGACUCGCGGCUUAUCAGCUUGUUGGUGGGGUAGUGGCUUACCAAGGGUUUGACGGGUAGCCGGCAUGGGAGGGUGACCGGCGACAAUGGGACUGCGGUACGGACCAGAGUCCAAUGGGGGGCAGUAGUGGGGAAUAUGGUACAGUCAGAGGAAGCGUGAUGAAGCGACGCUCCGGGCGGGAUGACGGCCUGUGGGUUGUAAACCGCUGUCGGCUGUGACGAAGCGGUAGUGACGGUAACGGGUAAAGAAGCACCGGCUAACUACGUG
RNAcentral lists this ribosomal RNA (468 nucleotides) under uncultured bacterium. RNAcentral describes it as "partial 16S ribosomal RNA". It matches the Rfam family "Bacterial small subunit ribosomal RNA", at positions 28 to 507 of the family's 1533-position model. The record is from RNAcentral.